AGGCAUUGUAUAGAGGAACACUGUGAAACUCCCUGCCCUGUUCUGUUUCUCUCUGACCACCGGUGCAUGCAGCCCCUGUCACGUACCCCCUGCUUGCUCAAAUCAAUCACGACGCUUUCAUGUGAAAUCUUUAGUGUUGUGAGCCCUUCAAAGGGACAGAAAUUGUGCACUCGGGGAGCUCGGAUUUUAAGGCAGUAGCUUCCCGAUGCUCCCAGCUGAAUAAAGCCCUUCCUUCUACAACUCGGUGUCUGAGAGGUUUUGUCUGCGGCUCGUCCUGCUACAUUUCUUGGUUCCCUGACUGGGAAGCGAGGUAACUGACGGACGGCUGAGGCAGCCUCUUAGGCGGCUUAGGCCUGCCCUAUGGAGCAUCCCUGCGGGGGACUCCGGCCAGCCUGAGUGACACGAUCCAAAGAGCGGGUAGGCAAUUGUCCCGGUGGAACGCCUCAUCAGAGCAGCGUGUAGCAGGCCCCCGCAGAGGAUUAACAUAGUGGCUGAACACCGGGAAGGAACUGGCACUUGGAGUCCGGACAUCUGAAACUCGGUUGGUCGUGGCAUCUGCAUUCUUGGAAGGUGCAGGCCUGGAUCCAGGCUGAUGGGUGAAGAGGAGGAGUUUCGUGGAACCUGAUGAGAUGAGGCACCUGGGGACAGGUGACCCCAGCGGCUGCCACUGGCAGGAGAGAGCUUCCGAGGAAAGACAUCUGACAUGGCAGGGUGACUGCUGGGACUGUGGGCAAAGCAUGAGCUCAGCGGUGUUCUCAUCCACCCAAUUAGACCCUGCACUUGAUGGAUCAGCUGGUCCCACCCAGAUAAAUAAACCGGCUCAUCGGAUCUUGCGGUCCCCACCCAGAACUGACUCUGCAAGAAGACAGCUUCGACUCCCUAUGAUUUCAUCUCUGACCAAUCAGCACUUCUGGCUCACCCGCUUCCCCGGAUCUGCCAAAUUAUCCUUAAGAAUUCUGCUCCCCAAACGCUCAGGGAGGCUGAUUUGACUUCUUCUAGACAAGAGUGGCCUUGCCUGCCGGAAGCCCUAAAAUUACAGGUGAGCUGGAUCCCGAGAAAUGAAGUCCCUGACUAAUCGCAAGUAAAGACACAGCCAUUUGAUAGUUCUGUUCUGCAUCUUGGAAUGGGUAGAAAUACAAUAAUAGCACCAAACAUGAAUUACGGAAAACAAGAUGUGAUUGGAGACAUUUGCUAAGAGAUGCCAGCCCGGCCUCAGCGAAGUCAAUUCAUCAGCUAUUUUCACUUGGGAAAGAGAACUUAAGGGCGGAGCCGCAGUCCCGGCCAAACCUAACAGUCUAAAAAGCAGACUGUGUGACCUACCAAGGCCUCAGGGCAAUAUUAACUGCAAAUGAGCUCAGCAGGGCGGGGGCCGCCGCACUGUUGUCUGGGGGAAAAGAUGGCAGGGCCACAGCCUCUAAUGUGAAAGCCACCUGCAGGGCCAGAAGGCCUCUCUGGAGGCAGAGGGAUGCAGCAAAGACCACUCGGCUCUGCAGUGAGGGCUGGGCUGGGUGGUGCCACAUGGCUUUCUAAUGGUUACUUACGUCUCCAAGCUUGUUUCCUCAUCUAUAAAAUGAGGCUCAUAGCAUGUGCUAUACAGAGUUUCUGUAAAGAUUAAAAACAAGACAAAGCAAGUACAAGGGCUUUGGAAACUGUAAAAACUCAAUGUCAGAUGUCAUUAUCAUGAAAGAGAAACAAUACUGGUUAAAAA
Non-coding RNA from Macaca mulatta (Rhesus monkey), 1708 nucleotides. NCBI's taxonomy places the organism in Eukaryota, Metazoa, Chordata, Mammalia, Primates, Cercopithecidae. The record is from RefSeq and is a predicted model, not a curated record.